Triticum dicoccoides is the source of this 671-nucleotide long non-coding RNA. RefSeq lists it as uncharacterized. The record is from RefSeq and is a predicted model, not a curated record. NCBI's taxonomy places the organism in Eukaryota, Viridiplantae, Streptophyta, Magnoliopsida, Poales, Poaceae. The transcript is spliced from 3 exons.
CGCUCGCGAGCGGCAGGCCAGAAAAAAUAAGCGUUUGUCCGCUGGUCCCAGGAAGGAAAGAUCCUUCGCGCCAGCUGUUCUCACCUGUUUCCACGCGCAAACAAAGGAAAAAGCAGAUUAACAGAGUCCCCUCAUCACCCGUCGUUGUCACGUGAUACCCAUCAAACUACUAGCGCACCCCACGCCCCUCUCACCCACCCUCUCUCCCUCGCUGGUCGUCAGCUUCUUUCCCAUGAAAGAAACCAGAUCCAAUGCCAUGAACCAGAUCCUGUAGAGCUGCCAUGGCAAAGCAGCCAAGGUGAGGAGAUCUUGGUCAGAAAAACAGGAAGAAGAGAAGAGAAGCUUACCAAGCAACGCCAAGGCACAUGCUUUACUGUCCAUUGGGUCACAUUAAUGUCUUGCCAUGCAUGGCUUUGUGGUCCAUUGAUUCGCAGCGAUGCUCUCAGAUGUGCUUCCACCCCAUGUAUCUGCCAAAGUCCAUGGUAUGAGAAGUUGAUCACGGUUCAUGGCUAGGUAGCCGAAAAGUGAAUCAAGAAUCUGAAUCUCCCUCCUUCUGGGGUUUACGACCACAAGGAACCAGUGGGUGUUCGCCAUGUUUGUAGGCAGAAAAACCUGGACAGCAAAGAUGAUUACAUCAACAUGCAUAAUAAUUAGAAAAAUAAUUGUGUUUA